This is a non-coding RNA of Parelaphostrongylus tenuis, 73 nucleotides long. Lineage: Eukaryota; Metazoa; Nematoda; Chromadorea; Rhabditida; Metastrongylidae. The record is from the annotation of a GenBank genome assembly.
GCUCGGUGGUAUAGUGGUAGCACGCGUUCCCAGUAUGGAUGAAACACGGGUUCAACUCCCAUCUGAGGUCGCA